Molecule: ribosomal RNA, 468 nt
Filed under: uncultured bacterium
Lineage: Bacteria
Description: partial 16S ribosomal RNA
Rfam family: Bacterial small subunit ribosomal RNA
Source: RNAcentral
GACGAACGCUGGCGGCGUGCUUAACACAUGCAAGUCGAACGGAAAGGCCCUGCUUUUGUGGGGUGGUCGGGGUGGGGAAGGGGGGGUAAAACGUUGGUUAACCGGCCUUGGCUUUGGGGAAAAUUCAAGGAAAUUGGGGUUAUAACGGGUAAGGGCUCCUGGUGGCAGGUGGGGGGUGGGAAGUUUCGGCGGUUGGGGAUGGACUCGCGGCUUAUCAGCUUGUUGGUGGGGUAGUGGCUUACCAAGGCUUUGACGGGUAGCCGGCCUGAGAGGGUGACCGGCCACAUUGGGACUGAGAUACGGCCCAGACUCCUACGGGAGGCAGCAGUGGGGAAUAUUGCACAAUGGGCGGAAGCCUGAUGCAGCAACGCCGCGUGCGGGAUGACGGCCUUCGGGUUGUAAACCGCUUUCGCCUGUGACGAAGCGUGAGUGACGGUAAUGGGUAAAGAAGCACCGGCUAACUACGUG